CCUACGGGUGGCAGCAGUGAGGAAUAUUGGUCAAUGGGCGCGAGCCUGAACCAGCCAAGUCGCGUGAGGGAAGACGGUCCUAUGGAUUGUAAACCUCUUUUGUCGGGGAGCAAAAGACGCCACGCGUGGCGUUCCGAGAGUACCCGAAGAAAAAGCAUCGGCUAACUCCGUGCCAGCAGCCGCGGUAAUACGGAGGAUGCGAGCGUUAUCCGGAUUUAUUGGGUUUAAAGGGUGCGCAGGUGGUGAAUCAAGUCAGCGGUGAAAGUUAGUGGCUCAACCUCAACAUUGCCGUUGAAACUGGUUGACGAGAGCAGAGUUGAGGUAGGCGGAAGGCGGGGUGUAGCGGUGAAAUGCAUAGAUAUCACGCAGAACUCCGAGUGCGAAGG
RNAcentral lists this ribosomal RNA (386 nucleotides) under uncultured bacterium. RNAcentral describes it as "partial 16S ribosomal RNA". It matches the Rfam family "Bacterial small subunit ribosomal RNA", at positions 338 to 721 of the family's 1533-position model. The record is from RNAcentral.